This 251-nucleotide ribosomal RNA is filed under the name uncultured prokaryote. RNAcentral's name for it is "partial 16S rRNA". It matches the Rfam family "Bacterial small subunit ribosomal RNA", at positions 525 to 775 of the family's 1533-position model. The record is from RNAcentral.
ACGUAGGACACGAGCGUUAUCCGGAUUUACUGGGCGUAAAGCGCCUGUAGGCGGUCUUGUAAGUCGGAUGUGAAAGCCCCAGGCUUAACCUGGGGAGGCCAUUCGAUACUGCGGGGCUUGAGGAUGGAAGAGGGGAGUGGAAUUCCCGGUGUAGGAGUGAAAACCGCUGCUCCUUGGGGGACCACCUGUGGCGAAGGCGUCUCACCAGGACGGCUCCGACGGUGAGGAGCGAAAGCUGGGGGAGCAAUCUG